This 253-nucleotide ribosomal RNA is filed under the name uncultured bacterium. RNAcentral's name for it is "partial 16S ribosomal RNA". It matches the Rfam family "Bacterial small subunit ribosomal RNA", at positions 524 to 776 of the family's 1533-position model. The record is from RNAcentral.
GACGUAGGGCGCGAGCGUUGUCCGGAUUUAUUGGGCGUAAAGAGCUCGUAGGCGGCUUGUCGCGUCGUUCGUGAAAACUCACAGCUCAACUGUGAGCUUGCGGUCGAUACGGGCAGGCUAGAGUUCGGUAGGGGAGACUGGAAUUCCUGGUGUAGCGGUGAAAUGCGCAGAUAUCAGGAGGAACACCGAUGGCGAAGGCAGGUCUCUGGGCAUUAACUGACGCUGAGGAGCGAAAGCAUGGGGAGCGAACAGG